This 327-nucleotide ribosomal RNA is filed under the name uncultured eukaryote. RNAcentral describes it as "partial 18S ribosomal RNA". It matches the Rfam family "Eukaryotic small subunit ribosomal RNA", at positions 1470 to 1796 of the family's 1831-position model. The record is from RNAcentral.
CCCUUAGAUGUUCUGGGCCGCACACGCGCUACACUGAAGGAGGCAGCGUGUACUCCUGGAUCGAAAGAUUUGGGUAACCCGCGAAUCUCCUUCGUGCUAGGGAUUGAGGUUUGCAAUUAUCCUUCAUGAACGAGGAAUUCCCAGUAAGUGCAAGUCAUAAGCUUGCGCUGACUACGUCCCUGCCCUUUGUACACACCGCCCGUCGCUACUACCGAUUGAAUGAUUUAGUGAGGACUUCGGACUGGGACCGAUGCGGCUUUCGGGCUGCGUCGGUAUUCUGGAAAGAUGUCCGAACUGUAUCAUUUAGAGGAAGUAAAAGUCAUAACA